RNAcentral lists this ribosomal RNA (433 nucleotides) under uncultured bacterium. RNAcentral describes it as "partial 16S ribosomal RNA". It matches the Rfam family "Bacterial small subunit ribosomal RNA", at positions 29 to 507 of the family's 1533-position model. The record is from RNAcentral.
AACGAACGCUGGCGGCAUGCCUAACACAUGCAAGUCGAACGAGACCUUCGGGUCUAGUGGCUCACGGGUGCGUAACGCGUGGGAACCUGCCCUUAGGUUCGGAAUAACUCCCCGAAGGGGGUGCUAAUACCGGAUAAUGUCUUCGGACCAAAGAUUUAUCGCCUUUGGAUGGGCCCGCGUUGGAUUAGCUAGUUGGUAGGGUAAAAGCCUACCAAGGCGACGAUCCAUAGCUGGUCUGAGAGGAUGAUCAGCCACACUGGGACUGAGACACGGCCCAGACUCCUACGGGAGGCAGCAGUGGGGAAUAUUGGACAAUGGGCGAAAGCCUGAUCCAGCAAUGCCGCGUGAGUGAUGAAGGCCUUAGGGUUGUAAAGCUCUUUUACCCGGGAUGAUAAUGACAGUACCGGGAGAAUAAGCUCCGGCUAACUCCGUG